AAGGUCGUAACAAGGUUUUCCGUAGGUGAACCUGCGGAAGGAUCAUCAUCGAGAGAGGGGUCUUCGCGCUCCCGGGGGUUUUCGGCCCCUAACUCUUCACCCGUUGUCAACUUACCCUUGUUGCUUUGGCGGAUUCCGGGGUAUGUCUUGCGUAGGUUUGUCAUAAACCCGGUGCGAGAUGUGCCCCGGCGCCCGCCGGAGGCCCAAUUAAAAUUCUGUUUAUCAGUGAUGUCCGAGUAAAAAAGCCAAUAAUAAAAC
This 258-nucleotide unclassified non-coding RNA is filed under the name plant metagenome. Its description in RNAcentral is "partial contains small subunit ribosomal RNA and internal transcribed spacer 1". The record is from RNAcentral.